AUUGAACGCUGGCGGCAGGCCUAACACAUGCAAGUCGAACGGUAACAGGAAGACGCUUGCUUCUUUGCUGACGAGUGGCGGACGGGUGAGUAAUGUCUGGGAAACUGCCUGAUGGAGGGGGAUAACUACUGGAAACGGUAGCUAAUACCGCAUAACGUCGCAAGACCAAAGAGGGGGACCUUCGGGCCUCUUGCCAUCGGAUGUGCCCAGAUGGGAUUAGCUAGUAGGUGGGGUAACGGCUCACCUAGGCGACGAUCCCUAGCUGGUCUGAGGGGAUGACCAGCCACACUGGAACUGAGACACGGUCCAGGCUCCUACGGGAGGCAGCAGUGGGGAAUAUUGCACAAUGGGCGCAAGCCUGAUGCAGCCAUGCCGCGUGUAUGAAGAAGGCCUUCGGGUUGUAAAGUACUUUCAGCGGGGAGGAAGGGAGUAAAGUUAAUACCUUUACUCAUUGACGUUACCCGCAGAAGAAGCACCGGCUAACUCCGUG
This 490-nucleotide ribosomal RNA is filed under the name uncultured bacterium. RNAcentral's name for it is "partial 16S ribosomal RNA". It matches the Rfam family "Bacterial small subunit ribosomal RNA", at positions 30 to 507 of the family's 1533-position model. The record is from RNAcentral.